AGAGAGAGACAUGCGCGCAUAUCAAUAAGCGGAGGAAAAGAAACUAACAUAGGAUUCCCUCAGUAACGGCGAGUGAAGCGGGAAGAGCUCAAAUUUGAAAUCUUCAAGGUUCUACCUUUACGAAUUGUAGUUUAAAGAAGUGUUUUCUGUUGAAGUUUUGGUAAAAGUUCUUUGGAAUAGGACAUCAUAGAGGGUGAGAAUCCCGUAUUUGACCAUUAUUUCCAGCUUUGUGAUACACUUUCAAAGAGUCGGAUUGUUUGGGAAUGCAGUCCAAAAUGGGUGGUAAAUUUCAUCUAAAGCUAAAUAUUGGCGAGAGACCGAUAGCGAACAAGUACCGUGAGGGAAAGAUGAAAAGAACUUUGAAAAGAGAGUUGAACAGUACGUGAAAUUGUCAAAAGGGAAGCGUUUGACACCAGUGUUGUUUUCUCGAAAAUCAAUUAAAAAAGGCAGGAUUUUGUGUUGCUAUUGACUUUAUCAGCUUUCUGCACUCUUUUCUUGUCUUUUUUAAUGCACUUUUCGUUUAACAAGUCAACAUCAAUUUCUUUUGUUGUAAAAGGGUCAUUGGAAGGUGGCUUUCUUUUCGGAGAAAGUGUUUAUAGCCUUUGGCCUCUGCAAUCGGAGAGAUUGAGGUCUGCAGCGUAGAUCCUUCGGGGUUAGAUACAUUUGUGCUAAGUUAUAGCCUUUUCAUAGACAACUUGUUGACUAUGAUCAGUCAUGUAGCUUACUCGCUUAUGCUAUUUUACCUACGCUUAGGAUGUUGAUGUGAUACUGCGAGC
Molecule: ribosomal RNA, 776 nt
Filed under: uncultured Neocallimastigales
Lineage: Eukaryota; Fungi; Neocallimastigomycota; Neocallimastigomycetes; Neocallimastigales
Description: partial large subunit ribosomal RNA
Rfam family: Eukaryotic large subunit ribosomal RNA
Source: RNAcentral